Molecule: ribosomal RNA, 469 nt
Filed under: uncultured bacterium
Lineage: Bacteria
Description: partial 16S ribosomal RNA
Rfam family: Bacterial small subunit ribosomal RNA
Source: RNAcentral
GACGAACGCUGGCGGCGUGCUUAACACAUGCCAGUCGAACGGUGAAGCGAUUGCUUGCACUCGUGGAUCAGUGGCGAACGGGUGAGUAACACGUGAGUAACCUGCCCAUCACUCUGGGAUAAGCACUGGAAACGGUGUCUAAUACUGGAUACGACCAACCCUUGCAUGGGGUGUUGGUGGACAGAUUUAUCGGUGAUGGAUGGACUCGCGGCCUAUCAGCGUGUUGGCGGGGUAAUGGCCCACCAAGGCGACGACGGGUAGCCGGCCUGAGAGGGUGACCGGCCACACUGGGACUGAGACAGGGCCCAGACUGCAACGGGAGGCAGCAGUGGGGAAUAUUGCACAAUGGGCGAAAGCCUGAUGCAGCGACGCCGCGGGAGGGAUGACGGCCUUCGGGUUGUAAACCGCUGUCAGCAGGGAAGAAGCGAAAGUGACGGUACCUGCAGAAGAAGCACCGGCUAACUACGUG